GUGCAAAUUUCAUUGAUUUUCUUGUCAUUUUUUUAAAGAGAAAAGAUGCUUCUCAUAUGCUAAAUAAACUUUUGUAGGUAAAUUAAAAACAUGAUCAAUAUCUAGUUUGUUCCUUCAGGAAAGA
This 124-nucleotide small nucleolar RNA is filed under the name Notamacropus eugenii (tammar wallaby). Lineage: Eukaryota; Metazoa; Chordata; Mammalia; Diprotodontia; Macropodidae. The record is from RNAcentral.